This 618-nucleotide ribosomal RNA is filed under the name uncultured bacterium. RNAcentral describes it as "bacterial SSU rRNA". It matches the Rfam family "Bacterial small subunit ribosomal RNA", at positions 202 to 842 of the family's 1533-position model. The record is from RNAcentral.
CAAAGGUGAGCCAAUACAGGAUGGACCCGCGUCUGAUUAGCUAGUUGGUAAGGUAACGGCUUACCAAGGCGACGAUCAGUAGCCGACCUGAGAGGGUGAUCGGCCACAUUGGAACUGAGACACGGUCCAAACUCCUACGGGAGGCAGCAGUGGGGAAUAUUGCACAAUGGGCGAAAGCCUGAUGCAGCAACGCCGCGUGAGUGAUGAAGGCCUUCGGGUCGUAAAACUCUGUCCUCAAGGAAGAUAAUGACGGUACUUGAGGAGGAAGCCCCGGCUAACUACGUGCCAGCAGCCGCGGUAAUACGUAGGGGGCUAGCGUUAUCCGGAUUUACUGGGCGUAAAGGGUGCGUAGGCGGUCUUUCAAGUCAGGAGUGAAAGGCUACGGCUCAACCGUAGUAAGCUCUUGAAACUGGGAGACUUGAGUGCAGGAGAGGAGAGUGGAAUUCCUAGUGUAGCGGUGAAAUGCGUAGAUAUUAGGAGGAACACCAGUUGCGAAGGCGGCUCUCUGGACUGUAACUGACGCUGAGGCACGAAAGCGUGGGGAGCAAACAGGAUUAGAUACCCUGGUAGUCCACGCUGUAAACGAUGAGUACUAGGUGUCGGGGGUUACCCCCUUCG